This 23-nucleotide non-coding RNA is filed under the name Cricetulus griseus (Chinese hamster). The record is from RNAcentral. Lineage: Eukaryota; Metazoa; Chordata; Mammalia; Rodentia; Cricetidae.
UAUGCAGCACUUAGUCUUCCUAG